AAUUUUUCAAUUUUUCUCGUCCCGGGUUCUGCCCCCUUUAGGAAUUUUUCUCGCG
RNAcentral lists this transfer RNA (55 nucleotides) under Acanthemblemaria macrospilus (barnacle blenny). RNAcentral describes it as "partial tRNA-Pro". The record is from RNAcentral. Lineage: Eukaryota; Metazoa; Chordata; Actinopteri; Blenniiformes; Chaenopsidae.